Molecule: transfer RNA, 73 nt
Filed under: Genlisea aurea
Lineage: Eukaryota; Viridiplantae; Streptophyta; Magnoliopsida; Lamiales; Lentibulariaceae
Rfam family: tRNA
About the family: Transfer RNA (tRNA) molecules are approximately 80 nucleotides in length. Their secondary structure includes four short double-helical elements and three loops (D, anti-codon, and T loops).
Source: Rfam by way of RNAcentral
AUUUCUCUAGUCUAAAGGUUAAGAUAUACUGCUCAUAACAGUACUGAUGUAGGUUCGAGUCCUACGAGAAAUA